This 434-nucleotide ribosomal RNA is filed under the name Flabellinopsis iodinea. RNAcentral describes it as "partial large subunit ribosomal RNA". It matches the Rfam family "Bacterial large subunit ribosomal RNA", at positions 1832 to 2597 of the family's 2925-position model. Lineage: Eukaryota; Metazoa; Mollusca; Gastropoda; Nudibranchia; Flabellinopsidae. The record is from RNAcentral.
AGCUAUUAGAUGAUAUUUAUAGUUAAACCUGCCCAAUGUUGAAAAUUAAUGGCCGCGGUACUUUGACCGUGCUAAGGUAGCGUAAUCAGUUGGCUUUUAAAUGGAGUCAGGUAUGAAUGGAAUAACUGGGUUUUACUGUCUCUUAAUUAUUCGAUUGAAUUUACUUUUUAAGUGAAAAAGCUUAAUUUAUAUAAAGGGACGAGAAGACCCUUAGAAUUUUUUUAAAAAUGGUAUUUUAUCAGUAUAAUUUUGUUGGGGCGACAAAGAAAUAAUUUUUAACUUUCUUUUAUUACAAGCCGAUUUUUUUAAGCAAGAAUAAAUUACCUGAGGGAUAACAGCAUAAUUCUAAAAUUGAGUUUGUGACCUCGAUGUUGGACUAGGAAACUAGCAGAUUAGCCAUUUGCUGUGUUGGUUCUGUUCGAACUUUAAUUCCU